GGCAUGGUACGCCAAAUGGGAGAGCGACGGAAUUCAAACCUCCGUGUUUGUGGGUUCGACUCCCACCCGUGCUAC
RNAcentral lists this transfer RNA (75 nucleotides) under Lignipirellula cremea. RNAcentral describes it as "Planctomycetes bacterium Pla85_3_4 tRNA-Leu". It matches the Rfam family "tRNA". From Rfam's summary of the family: Transfer RNA (tRNA) molecules are approximately 80 nucleotides in length. Their secondary structure includes four short double-helical elements and three loops (D, anti-codon, and T loops). The record is from RNAcentral. Lineage: Bacteria; Pseudomonadati; Planctomycetota; Planctomycetia; Pirellulales; Pirellulaceae.